RNAcentral lists this long non-coding RNA (242 nucleotides) under Chlamydomonas reinhardtii. Its description in RNAcentral is "long non-coding RNA (CREI_LNC000231)". Lineage: Eukaryota; Viridiplantae; Chlorophyta; Chlorophyceae; Chlamydomonadales; Chlamydomonadaceae. The record is from RNAcentral.
AGACCUGCCGGUGUUGUCUGGUUAGCGACCUGUGCUGACGAGCAUGGCGUAGCGGGCAGUCGGCUGCAGCGGCAGGGGUGUUUUCCUUGCUGUCUGGUUGGCCUGCUGCCUGCUGCACUAGUGCUUGAUAGCUGGGCGCGGCUGGGCACAUAUGGCGGGCGGUGCCUGUACAACCCGACCCCGGCUAUGUCCGGGAGAUGAGGCUAGUAUCGGAACCUUCGGCCUCAGACGGAGCACGUGGC